GAAACGACUGCUAAGACUGGAUAGGAGAUAAGAAGGCAUCUUCUUAUUUUUAAAAGACCUAGCAAUAGGUAUGCUUAGGGAAGAGCUUGCGUCACAUUAGUUAGUUGGUGGGGUAAUGGCCUACCAAGACGAUGAUGUGUAGCCGGGCUGAGAGGUCGAACGGCCACAUUGGGACUGAGACACGGCCCAAACUCCUACGGGAGGCAGCAGUAAGGAAUUUUCGGCAAUGGAGGAAACUCUGACCGAGCAAUGCCGCGUGAACGAUGAAGUAUUUCGGUACGUAAAGUUCUUUUAUUAGGGAAGAAAAGAUGGUGGAAAAACCAUUAUGACGGUACCUAAUGAAUAAGCCCCGGCUAACUAUGUGCCAGCAGCCGCGGUAAUACAUAGGGGGCAAGCGUUAUCCGGAAUUAUUGGGCGUAAAGGGUGCGUAGGCGGUUAAAUAAGUUUAUGGUCUAAGUGCAACGCUCAACGUUGUGAUGCUAUAAAAACUGUUUAGCUAGAGUUGGAUAGAGGCAAGUGGAAUUCCGUGUGUAGUGGUAAAAUGCGUAAAUAUACGGAGGAACACCAGAAGCGAAGGCGGCUUGCUGGGUCUUAACUGACGCUGAGGCACGAAAGCGUGGGGAGCAAACAGGAUUAGAUACCCUGGUAGUCCACGCCCUAAACGAUGAGUACUAAACGUUGGAUAAAACCAGUGUUGAAGUUAACACAUUAAGUACUCCGCCUGAGUAGUACGUACGCAAGUAUGAAACUUAAAGGAAUUGACGGGACUCCGCACAAGCGGUGGAUCAUGUUGUUUAAUUCGAAGGUACCCGAAAAACCUCACCAGGUCUUGACAUGCUUUUGCAAAGCUGUAGAAAUACAGUGGAGGUUAUCAGAAGCACAGGUGGUGCAUGGUUGUCGUCAGCUCGUGUCGUGAGAUGUUGGGUUAAGUCCCGCAACGAGCGCAACCCUUGUUGUUAAUUGCCAUCAUUAAGUUGGGGACUUUAGCAAGACUGCCAAUGAUAAAUUGGAGGAAGGUGGGGACGACGUCAAAUCAUCAUGCCCCUUAUGACCUGGGCUACAAACGUGAUACAAUGGCUGUUACAAAGGGUAGCUAAAGCGUAAGCUUCUGGCGAAUCUCAAAAAAGCAGUCUCAGUUCGGAUUGAAGUCUGCAACUCGACUUCAUGAAGUUGGAAUCGCUAGUAAUCGCGAAUCAGCAUGUCGCGGUGAAUACGUUCUCGGGGUUUGUACACACCGCCCGUCA
Molecule: ribosomal RNA, 1244 nt
Filed under: Candidatus Phytoplasma solani
Lineage: Bacteria; Bacillati; Mycoplasmatota; Mollicutes; Acholeplasmatales; Acholeplasmataceae
Description: bacterial SSU rRNA
Rfam family: Bacterial small subunit ribosomal RNA
Source: RNAcentral